AUUGAACGCUGGCGGCAUGCCUUACACAUGCAAGUCGAACGGCAGCACGGGUGCUUGCACCUGGUGGCGAGUGGCGAACGGGUGAGUAAUACAUCGGAACAUGUCCUGUAGUGGGGGAUAGCCCGGCGAAAGCCGGAUUAAUACCGCAUACGAUCCACGGAUGAAAGCGGGGGACCUUCGGGCCUCGCGCUAUAGGGUUGGCCGAUGGCUGAUUAGCUAGUUGGUGGGGUAAAGGCCUACCAAGGCGACGAUCAGUAGCUGGUCUGAGAGGACGACCAGCCACACUGGGACUGAGACACGGCCCAGACUCCUACGGGAGGCAGCAGUGGGGAAUUUUGGACAAUGGGCGAAAGCCUGAUCCAGCAAUGCCGCGUGUGUGAAGAAGGCCUUCGGGCUGUAAAGCACUUUUGUCCGGAAAGAAAUCCUUGGCUCUAAUACAGUCGGGGGAUGACGGUACCGGAAGAAUAAGCACCGGCUAACUACGUG
Molecule: ribosomal RNA, 486 nt
Filed under: uncultured bacterium
Lineage: Bacteria
Description: partial 16S ribosomal RNA
Rfam family: Bacterial small subunit ribosomal RNA
Source: RNAcentral